This 207-nucleotide ribosomal RNA is filed under the name uncultured bacterium. RNAcentral's name for it is "partial 16S ribosomal RNA". It matches the Rfam family "Bacterial small subunit ribosomal RNA", at positions 568 to 774 of the family's 1533-position model. The record is from RNAcentral.
CGCGUAGGCGGGGAGGUAAGUCGGGUGUGAAAUCCCUCGGCCCAACCGAGGAACUGCGCCCGAGACUGCUUCUCUUGAGUCCCGGAGAGGAAGAUGGAAUUCCCGGUGUAGCGGUGAAAUGUGUAGAGAUCGGGAGGAACGCCGGUGGCGAAGGCGGUCUUCUGGACGGUGACUGACGCUGAGGCGCGAAAGCGUGGGGAGCAAACG